UUAAAGGGGUUAUUAAGGAAAACUAAGGCAAAUUUAUAAAUAUAAGGAGGGUACAACCCAAAAGCUUAAAGAAUCAAGCUUGAAUACGGUUUAAAUACAUUUAAGCGAUCCUAAGGUAAACCUUAUUAAUUAAUUACUUCCUGAAGUAAAACAUUUCAGUAGGGAAAGGAAAGGAAAUCAACCGAGACUCCGAAAGUAAUGGUGAGUGAAAUCGGACUAGCCUAAAAAUAUAUAAUAUAAAUUGAAAAAAUAAUAGCUUUGCUACUAUAAAGACAAAAAUAAUAGCUUUUUGGCUAUUAUUCGUAGUAGAAACUAAUACUGGUUAAAAGUAGUUUUGCUACUAUAAAAACAAGAGUAAUAGCUUUUUUGGUUAUUAUUCGUAUUAGUAUUCUAAAACUAUUUAUAAGGAGCUUUGCUAGUUUAUUUAAAGCGUUGUUUCGCUACAAAAAAAGGUCAAUUAAGUCCUGUAGGUUUAUAUUAUAUAAUAAUAAAUAGCCGCUUUGCGGUCUGGUCACUGGAUCAGUUUGAACUUCUAGUCAAAAUUUGUGUUUAAUUUAAAUACUAGAAGCGUACUAACGAAAAAGCGUUAGAUUACUAUUUCAGUAGUAUUUGUUACGGUACUAAGGGUAUAAAAUUUAUUUUUAUUAAUUAGUAUUUUAUUAGUAGUCUUUGCCUUAUCUAGUAGUUUUAGUUCAUUGACGAAGGCUAGUAAGUUAAGUUAGACGCAUUUAUGCGGCUAUAAUUUAGCUUUAGCUACAAGUACUAAAUAAGCUAGAAUGGUAAUAAGAUUACACUAGUGAGUACGAUGAGAGAUAACUUGUCGGAACAAAGGGGAACCAUCCUCUAAGGCUAAGUAUUAUAAAUUUAGCGAUAGUGAAAAAGUACUGUGAAGGAAAAGUUUGAAAAGCAAGUAGUAUACUUAAAAUAAGUUUAUAGUUAUUAGUAUUAGCUAGCUAGCCUAAUUGGUCAGCGUAUUUAGCUAACUAAUAAUCAAACCUUAUUGGUGAAAUAGAUCUUGAAUUAGUAACUCUAUAAGCAGUCGGAAUUCUUACAAAUUAGUUUUUGUUUUUAGAAUGACGGCGUACCUUUUGCAUAAUGGGUCAGCAACUUAAUAGUAGUAGCAAGGUUAAAAGCCCUAGCGAAAGCGACUGGAUAGCAAAUCAAUUGUCAUAUAACAGGCAUUGAAAUCUAUGAUGGAUAAGUUACUACUAUUAGACUCGAAGCCAGGUGAUCUUACUUAGGCCAGAUUAUAAUGGAUCGAACGGGUGAAUGUUGCAUAAUUCUCCGAAGAGUCUAAGUAAGCGGUGAAAUGCCAAUCUGACCUGGUGCUAGCUGGUUUUCUACGAAACAUAUUUAAGUAUGAAGUCUACCGACCUUAUGAAAAUUAAGGAAGUCUAUCUUAUUUUAAUUGAGAAGACUUAUAGAUUUAUGGAGGUACAGCAAGGCAAUUCCCAACAAGUAUUUUUUUAUAGCUUUACAGUUAUUAAAAUUUAGGCGUUUAGGAUGCGGGGACCUAGAAAAUCUUACCUUUGGAAGCGAAUCUCGGAAUUACAUAAAUUGAUGGUAGAUAUUCAGACUACUCAAGCUAAGUUGGGUAGUCAAGACGGAAACAGCCGAUAACACUGAUCAAGGUCCCAAAUGAUUGUUAAGUGAAAAUAAGGAUGUAUGAUUAUCGUAUACAGCUGAGAAGUGAGCCUGGCAGUCGCUACUUAUAAUGAACGUUUGUAACAACGCAUCAGCAGUCUUUAAUUUACAAGUAUUAGUGUAGUAAUAGCCCUAACUUCGUUAAGGCGUACAACUAAACUAAUAUAGAUACUAGCGCCGAAAAUUUAACGGGUCUUAAACAAUCAACCGAUAUCGUGUUGGUUAAUUUUAGUAUUUUUAUAUUUUAAUUAAAUUUAACCAUUCUCAACCUCCUGUUAGAUUUAAUCUUUGGUUUUUCUUUUUUUGGUUGUUUUUUAAUAAAAUUAAUCAACCGAUAUAUAUGUAUCCUCUCAUUCUUAUCACAUUAUAUCGUGUUGGUUAAUUUUAGUUUAGUAAUUAUAAUAAUAAAAUUAAUCUAGGUAGUAGAACAUUCAGUCAUACUAAUGAUAAUACAGUGUUUCAUUGUAUUUGAGGUUACUGAAGAGAUAAUGCUGACAUGAGUAACGUAAAAAGAAGUUAUAAUACUUCUCGCCGAAUACGAAAGGGUUUCAAAGAAAGGUUAAUCCACUUUGAUUUAAUGCGGCCUCUAAGGGUAAUAGCUAAAGCUAUGACUGAUGAGUCUAAAAUAGAAAGUCUAUGUUAAAUCUUAAGUAGACCAGGAAAUUAAUAUUUUUAACUCUGCUUGCCUUAUUUUUAUCCUACGUUACAGAAAAGGAAACGUACUAGAAUUAAGUAUAUCAACUUUACAAAAAAAAAACAAGUAGAAGCCUUCGGUUAGCUACUUCUAUUUCACUAAAGUAUGGUAAAGUGAGCAGGGCUAAACCGAUACCGUACCCUAAACCGACACAGGUUCGUAGGUAGAGAAUACUAAGGCGUAGAGCUAAAAGUUGUUAAGGAACUCGGCAAGUUAACCUCAUAAGCUAGAUGAUAAGAGGUACCGCUUAAUUGAGCGGUGACACAUAAUCGGAGGCCCCGACUGUUUACUAAAAACACAUCACAGUGCAAUCAUUAAUAUGAUAGUAUACUGUGUGAAAUUUGCCCGAUGCCAUUAAUAUAAGAACGGUCAUUUGUAGCUAACACUACAACUAAAAGUGACUUAUCGAAAGUCUGGUUAAUAGCGGUCUUAACUAUGAGGAUUUAAAUGAGGUCCGGUAUCAAUAAUGUAACGAUGGUCUCACUGUCUCUACAACUUGCUCAGUGAAAUUGAAUUACGCGUGCAGAUGCGCGUUACCUCCAGGGGGACGGGAAACUUAAAUUCUCUGGAAAAAUAAAAUGCGACUAGAUAAGUCUAUUAUAACAAUGCGGUUAAACCCCGCCUAAUAAUCCAUUAUUUGAGCUAAAACAGUAUAGGAUAGAAGUAAUUUUAUACUAUAAAGCCUGUGGUGUAUUAACUAUUUAAUAUGGGAAAAUGAUUAUAAAUUUAAAUAUUUAAUAUACUUAGCUAGAAAUCCUUGGACAAUAUAAUGUGAAUCCAUGUUUGAAGCAGCUUUACUGUAAUUAGUUAUCAUAUGAAUCUAGAACAAUCUUAAUUAAGAGAGAAUAGGGAAGUCUAGUUAAGACAAAUAUUGGGAACCUUACAAUUAAUUUUGGGUUUGUGUUUACCUUUUUAAAUAAAGGGAUAGUUGACUAAUUGGCAGUUUGACUGGGGCGGUCGUCUUUAAUAGAGUAGCAAAGUACAACCAAAGAUAUCUACAAAUUAUAUUUUACUAAGUAAAACUAACAAAUAAAUUAGCGUAAUCUAAAAUUACUUAAAAACUAAAUUUAGAGAAGCUACAAAAAUAAUUACACAAAAUUAUAAAGGUAUAGCUAGAAAUUGAAUGGAGAUCAAUCAACCAGUGAAGGGUUGCGCAGAGUUCAAUGGCGGUAAGCAUGCUUAACUGAAAGACUCAAAAGUCGCACAGAUACGUAAGUAGGGCAUAGUGACCCCUCGCUAUAGAAUGGGAUAGACGAGGAUCAAUUGAUAAAAGUUACGCUAGGGAUAACAGGCUGAUAGCGGACGAGAGUACACAUUGUCUCCGCUGAUUGGCACCUCGAUGUCGACUCAUCCUAUCCUCCGGGGGAAGAAGCUUGGAAGGGUUCGGCUGUUCGCCGAUUAAAAGGGUACGUGAGUUGGGUUUAAUACGACGUGAGUCAGUAUGGUCCCUAUCUUCUGGAGGGACAAUUAGUAAAAGGGGGCAGACCUUCUAGUACGAAAGGACCAAUAGGCUGUGUUUCUCUAGUGUACCAAUUGUUUUAAUUAUUAUAGCAUAGCUAUUAGCUUUAUCUAAAUAAUGAACGCAUAGUUGGGUAGCCACAAACAUAAUAGAUAAGUGCUGAAUGUAUAUCAAGCAAGAAUCUAACCCCUAGAUACUAAAUGGUUUAUUUAUAAACCUUAAUUGAGAAAUAGAAGAUUUCUAGAUAGGCUGCAAAUGAAAGUACUGUAAAGUAUUUAGUUUAGUAGUACUAAUUUAUAAAAAAACUGAAUAAUGAGGAUUAACAAAAUUAAAAUUUAAGAAAAUUUAAACUAGAUAAAAAAAGCUACUAGUUGCUAACUACUAUUCUAGUUGCUGCGUUAAUACUUACGCAUAG
RNAcentral lists this ribosomal RNA (4212 nucleotides) under Agaricus bitorquis. RNAcentral's name for it is "large subunit ribosomal RNA". It matches the Rfam family "Bacterial large subunit ribosomal RNA". Lineage: Eukaryota; Fungi; Basidiomycota; Agaricomycetes; Agaricales; Agaricaceae. The record is from RNAcentral.